CCAAGGUUCUAGGAUUACUGAUCCUAGAAUCCGAGACCGAAGCCAACAAGCAAGAAGCGAGUUGGCUUCCCUGAUUCGUAAUGCUGAGAAGGAAGCUUACGCUUCCGUAAUGUUGGCUUUCAGAUAUCAAGCAGACCAAAUAACAUGGGAGAAGGAAUCACUCCUAUGUGAACUGAGAAAUGUCCUGAAUAUCAUGCAGGGAGGAUCAUAGCGAAAUUCUCACAACAACUCGUGCGGAUAACACCGCAAAGGAUUUACGUGAUUUCAUCUGCAGCUCCGCCAGCUCCCAACUGACAUCCAUUAUCCAUUAGAUCUGAAAAUGGAGGGAGAGCAAUGAAGUUUCAAGAUGCGUUGUGGGUGCUGCCUCUUUGAUAAAAGGUCGAGGCACUAAUUUUGAAUUUCUAAACUUAGCCUCACACGAUAAUAAAAAUGGAGGAAAAAGAAAGGG
Molecule: long non-coding RNA, 448 nt
Organism: Lotus japonicus
Lineage: Eukaryota; Viridiplantae; Streptophyta; Magnoliopsida; Fabales; Fabaceae
Exons: 4
Source: RefSeq, a predicted model, not a curated record